CUACGGGGGGCUCCAGUGGGGAAUAUUGCACAAUGAGCGAAAGCUUGAUGCAGCCAUACCGCGUGUGUGAAGAAGGCCCGAGGGUUGUAAAGCACUUUCAAUUGUGAGGAAGGUUCAGUAGUUAAUACCUGCUGUUCUUGACGUUAACUUUAGAAGAAGCACCGGCUAACUCUGUGCCAGCAGCCGCGGUAAUAGAGAGGGUGCAAGCGUUAUUCGGAAUUACUGGGCGUAAAGCGCGCGUAGGCGGACUAUUAAGUCAGUUGUGAAAGCCCUGGGCUCAACCUGGGAACUGCAUCUGAUACUGGUAGUCUAGAGUUUAAGAGAGGGAAGUGGAAUUCCAGGUGUAGCAGUGAAAUGCGUAGAUAUCUGGAGGAACAUCAGUGGCGAAGGCGACUUCCUGGCUUAAAACUGACGCUGAGGUGCGAAAGCGUGGGUAGCGAACGGGAUUAGAUACCCUGGUAGUC
RNAcentral lists this ribosomal RNA (464 nucleotides) under uncultured bacterium. Its description in RNAcentral is "partial 16S ribosomal RNA". It matches the Rfam family "Bacterial small subunit ribosomal RNA", at positions 339 to 795 of the family's 1533-position model. The record is from RNAcentral.